Clupea harengus (Atlantic herring) is the source of this 370-nucleotide long non-coding RNA. RefSeq lists it as uncharacterized. The record is from RefSeq and is a predicted model, not a curated record. The transcript is spliced from 4 exons. Lineage: Eukaryota; Metazoa; Chordata; Actinopteri; Clupeiformes; Clupeidae.
GUUUCUGUCCUACCGGCUGCACUGCAUAAAGCUGACCUCCUCCACACUGUGCUGUUGCAGAUCCUGCAAACUCAACUCAGAUACUCACCAAAGCUCUAAGGGGUCUCACCAUGACCAAGCUACUAUUCAUCUCAGCCUUCAUGGCAGUACUUGUCAUCAGUGUGGUGGGUUUUCGUGUCCCAAGGCGUGCUGAGUGGGUACCCCACGUGGAAUCAAUCAAUAUAUGUCCAGACCAUGGACCUGGCUGGCCAGAUAGUUGGAAAAGAGAACCUUAAAGCUGCUCUAGAUACAACAACUGAAACAACUUUCAGUCUGACAGGCGCAGCAGCUAAUCUUGCAGAGAAAAUUUUCAAAGCUCUCUUUACAAACU